GCUGUGGCUCAAUGGGAGAGCAUCUGCUUUGCAUGCAGAAGGUCUCAGGUUCGAUUCCUAGCAUCUCCA
Podarcis lilfordi (Lilford's wall lizard) is the source of this 69-nucleotide non-coding RNA. The record is from the annotation of a GenBank genome assembly. Lineage: Eukaryota; Metazoa; Chordata; Lepidosauria; Squamata; Lacertidae.